GCCAGUGUGGUGGUGCACACCUGUAAUCCCAGUAACUUGGGAGGUUGAGGCAGGAGGUUUGCAAGUUUGAGGGCAGCCUCAUCUACUUAGUAAGGCCCUAAGCAAUUAAGCAAGACCCUGUCUCAA
RNAcentral lists this small RNA (126 nucleotides) under Marmota monax (woodchuck). The record is from RNAcentral. Lineage: Eukaryota; Metazoa; Chordata; Mammalia; Rodentia; Sciuridae.